Molecule: ribosomal RNA, 244 nt
Filed under: uncultured bacterium
Lineage: Bacteria
Description: partial 16S ribosomal RNA
Rfam family: Bacterial small subunit ribosomal RNA
Source: RNAcentral
UACGUAGGGUGCGAGCGUUGUCCGGAAUUAUUGGGCGUAAAGGGCUCGUAGGCGGUUUGUCGCGUCGGGAGUGAAAUCCACUGGCUUAACUGGUGGCUUGCUUCGAUACGGGCAGACUGGAGGUAUGCAGGGGAGAACGGAAUUCCUGGUGUAGCGGUGAAAUGCGCAGAUAUCAGGAGGAACACCGAUGGCGAAGGCAGCCCCCUGGGCCAACACUGACGCUCAGGCACGAAAGCGUGGGGAG